UGGGGAAUAUUGCACAAUGGGCGCAAGCCUGAUGCAGCCAUGCCGCGUGUGUGAAGAAGGCCUUCGGGUUGUAAAGCACUUUCAGCGAGGAGGAAGGUGGUGAACUUAAUACGUUCAUCAAUUGACGUUACUCGCAGAAGAAGCACCGGCUAACUCCGUGCCAGCAGCCGCGGUAAUACGGAGGGUGCAAGCGUUAAUCGGAAUUACUGGGCGUAAAGCGCACGCAGGCGGUUUGUUAAGUCAGAUGUGAAAUCCCCGGGCUCAACCUGGGAACUGCAUUUGAAACUGGCAAGCUAGAGUCUCGUAGAGGGGGGUAGAAUUCCAGGUGUAGCGGUGAAAUGCGUAGAGAUCUGGAGGAAUACCGGUGGCGAAGGCGGCCCCCUGGACGAAGACUGACGCUCAGGUGCGAAAAGCGUGGGGAGCAAAACAGGAUUAGAUACCCUGGUAGUCCACGCUGUAAAACGAUGUCGAUUUUGGAGGUUGUGCCCUUGAGGCGUGGCUUCCGGAGCUUUUAACGCGUUAAAUCGACCGCCUGGGGAGUACGGCCGCAAGGUUAAAACU
This 561-nucleotide ribosomal RNA is filed under the name uncultured bacterium. RNAcentral's name for it is "partial 16S ribosomal RNA". It matches the Rfam family "Bacterial small subunit ribosomal RNA", at positions 355 to 901 of the family's 1533-position model. The record is from RNAcentral.